AACGAACGCUGGCGGCAUGCCUAACACAUGCAAGUCGAACGAAGGCUUCGGCCUUAGUGGCGCACGGGUGCGUAACGCGUGGGAAUCUGCCCUUUGCUUCGGAAUAACAGUUAGAAAUGACUGCUAAUACCGGAUGAUGUCGCAAGACCAAAGAUUUAUCGGCAAAGGAUGAGCCCGCGUAGGAUUAGCUAGUUGGUGGGGUAAAGGCCUACCAAGGCGACGAUCCUUAGCUGGUCUGAGAGGAUGAUCAGCCACACUGGGACUGAGACACGGCCCAGACUCCUACGGGAGGCAGCAGUGGGGAAUAUUGGACAAUGGGCGAAAGCCUGAUCCAGCAAUGCCGCGUGAGUGAUGAAGGCCUUAGGGUUGUAAAGCUCUUUUACCCGGGAUGAUAAUGACAGUACCGGGAGAAUAGGCUCCGGCUAACUCCGUG
This 433-nucleotide ribosomal RNA is filed under the name uncultured bacterium. RNAcentral describes it as "partial 16S ribosomal RNA". It matches the Rfam family "Bacterial small subunit ribosomal RNA", at positions 29 to 507 of the family's 1533-position model. The record is from RNAcentral.